AUUGAACGCUGGCGGCAGGCCUAACACAUGCAAGUCGAACGAGUGGCGCACGGGUGAGUAAUGUCUGGAAAACUGCUAGAUGGAGGGGGCAACCUACGGGAAACGGUAGCUAAUACCGAAAACCAUCCGCUGUGCCAAGAUGGGAUUCGCUUGUUGGUGGGGUAACGGAUCACCAAGGCGACGAUCCCUAGCUGGUCUGAGAGGGUGACCGGCCACACUGGAACUGAGACACGGUCCAGACUCCUACGGGAGGCAGCAGUGGGGAAUAUUGCACAAUGGGCGCAAGCCUGAUGCAGCCAUGCCGCGUGUAUGAUGAAGGCCUUCGGGUUGUAAAGUACUUUCAGCGGGGAGGCGUUACCCGCACAGAAAGCACCGGCUAACUCCGUGCCAGCAGCCGCGGUAAUUC
This 406-nucleotide ribosomal RNA is filed under the name uncultured bacterium. Its description in RNAcentral is "partial 16S ribosomal RNA". It matches the Rfam family "Bacterial small subunit ribosomal RNA", at positions 30 to 526 of the family's 1533-position model. The record is from RNAcentral.